AGAGUUUGAUCCUGGCUCAGGAUGAACGCUAGCGGCAGGCUUAAUACAUGCAAGUCGGGGGGGCAGCAAUGUCACCGGCGGACGGGUGCGUAACGCGUACACAACGUGCCCCAGAGCGGGAGAUAGCAUCGGGAAACUGAUGGUAAUACCCCGUGGUGUUGGAGAUUGGCAUCUUUUUUCAACUAAAGAUUACACUCUGGGAUCGGUGUGCGUAUGAUUAGCUAGUUGGUAGGGUAACGGCUUACCAAGGCGAUGAUCAUUAGGGGGUGUGAGAGCAUGACCCCCCACACGGGUACUGAGACACGGACCCGACUCCUACGGGAGGCAGCAGUAAGGAAUAUUGGACAAUGGUCGGAAGACUGAUCCAGCCAUGCCGCGUGAAGGACGAAGGCGCUCAGCGUUGUAAACUUCUUUUGUACGGGAACAAAACCACCAAUGCGUUGGUGUCUGAGGGUACCGUAAGAAUAAGCACCGGCUAACUCCGUGCCAGCAGCCGCGGUAAUACGGAGGGUGCAAGCGUUAUCCGGAAUCACUGGGUUUAAAGGGUGCGUAGGCGGUUCGAUAAGUCAGUUGUGAAAUUCCCUCGCUUAACGAGUGGGACUGCGAUUGAUACUGUUGAACUUGAAUCAGGUUGAGGUAGGCGGAAUGUGACAUGUAGCGGUGAAAUGCAUAGAUAUGUCAUAGAACACCGAUUGCGAAGGCAGCUUGCUGGACCUGUAUUGACGCUGACGCACGAAAGCGUGGGGAGCAACAGGAUUAGAUACCCUGGUAGUCCACGCCCUAAACUAUGUUUACUUGCUGUCGGUCCUAGAGACGGAGUUGACGAGCGAAAGCGAUAGUCAACCGAGCGUGGAGUAGUACGUCGCAGAUGGAACUCAAAGGUAAGUCGACGGGCGUCGCACAGCGAGGAGCAUGUGAUCAUUCGAUGAUCGCGAGCAUCCUUACCUGGGCU
This 952-nucleotide ribosomal RNA is filed under the name uncultured bacterium. RNAcentral's name for it is "bacterial SSU rRNA". It matches the Rfam family "Bacterial small subunit ribosomal RNA", at positions 8 to 981 of the family's 1533-position model. The record is from RNAcentral.